RNAcentral lists this ribosomal RNA (500 nucleotides) under uncultured bacterium. Its description in RNAcentral is "partial 16S ribosomal RNA". It matches the Rfam family "Bacterial small subunit ribosomal RNA", at positions 30 to 523 of the family's 1533-position model. The record is from RNAcentral.
AUUGAACGCUGGCGGCAUGCUUUACACAUGCAAGUCGAACGGUAACAGGGUGCUUGCACCGCUGACGAGUGGCGAACGGGUGAGUAAUGCGUCGGAACGUGCCGAGUAGUGGGGGAUAACGCAGCGAAAGUUGUGCUAAUACCGCAUACGUACUGAGGUAGAAAGUGGGGGACCUUCGGGCCUUCCGCUAUUCGAGCGGCCGACGUCUGAUUAGCUAGUAGGUGAGGUAAAGGCUCACCUAGGCGACGAUCAGUAGCGGGUCUGAGAGGAUGAUCCGCCGCACUGGGACUGAGACACGGCCCAGACUCCUACGGGAGGCAGCAGUGGGGAAUUUUGGACAAUGGGCGAAAGCCUGAUCCAGCCAUGCCGCGUGUCUGAAGAAGGCCUUCGGGUUGUAAAGGACUUUUGUCGGGGAGGAAAUCCCCAGCGUUAAUACCGCUGGGGGAUGACAGUACCUGAAGAAUAAGCACCGGCUAACUACGUGCCAGCCGCCGCAGUAA